Molecule: long non-coding RNA, 495 nt
Organism: Prunus avium (sweet cherry)
Lineage: Eukaryota; Viridiplantae; Streptophyta; Magnoliopsida; Rosales; Rosaceae
Source: RefSeq, a predicted model, not a curated record
UUCUUUUUCUUUUGUUUGGUACAUUUAAGUUCUAAAGUGAUUAAAUUUCUUGGUGAGUAACUCUUUUUGCGUUUUGGGUUAUCAAAGUGAUGCAGAUAAUCUUUAAUCGGCCCAUCGGAUUAGGAAGUUGAAGGAUUUGGAGAGAUUGUUGAGAUAUGAACAUAGAUUGGUGGUCACAAUUCGGGGAAAAGUUUUCUCGGAAACUCCCAUCAACUGUGAAAUUGGUGGUUUACAAGGAGUAGUUGUGGAGCAAAGGGGAGGUGAAGAACAAUAUUUUCUGAAACGCAUCAAGGAUGAUGAAAUGGAAGAAGGAUUAUAAAUUCAUGCCUUCUAUCACAAAAGAAGUUCCAUGGUAUUUGGAUGAUGGGACUUUUCGUGUGAAUGUGGUGGGAGCUCGAAGAGCCAGAGGCUUUGAGUACCCAGCUGAGAAUGCAGCAUUUGAAGGAUCAAAGAGAAGCUGGCCCCAAAUUGAGACAUUAGCUGAUCUCGAAAACC